AGAACGAGCCUGGGCAACGGACUGUCUAAGGUUGUUGACAUCAAGCCCCCAGUUCUCAGACUCAUCGAGAUAGUAAGGAACAAGAGAACCACCUAAGAGUGAUAUGGUAGCUGAGUAGAGUGGGUACUGUGGAACCGGAACUAGAAUCUGCAAAACGGUAAAGAAUACAACUUAUAAAUGAAGUUUUCAGGAGUAAAAUCAAAGCAGACGUCUUGGGACAGAGUAUUACCCCAUCUCCCUCACCGCGUAUAACACAGUUCAAGAUCUGCAUCACACCUUUGCUAGCUCCAUCAGUGAGAAAUAUGAGUUCUGGGUCACUGUGUGGAAAACAAACGGUUACAACAAACAUAUCUCAACUUCUUGAAAACCAAAAUGAAAGCAAUAAAAUCACCUUGGAUAGCCAUCACGUCUUUGAAUGAACUCAGCAACCUCUUUCCUAACACCAGGAAGGCCUCUUGAGUCACUGUAAGCACCUGAUAAACACACACACACAGAGAGAAAAGUAAAUAACUUUCUGACAACUGGCUAAAUAAUGAGUUUGGUGAACAUAAUAAUACCUAAUCCGCCAGAGGUCAAGGAGAGAUAAUGCUUAGCUCUGGCAAUAGCAUCAGCUGGAAAUAGCAUUCCAACAUUGGGGUCAUCUAGUAGAAACGGUGCUUGACAGAGCGCAACCACCUG
RNAcentral lists this long non-coding RNA (678 nucleotides) under Brassica napus (rape). Its description in RNAcentral is "long non-coding RNA (BNAP_LNC021709)". The record is from RNAcentral. Lineage: Eukaryota; Viridiplantae; Streptophyta; Magnoliopsida; Brassicales; Brassicaceae.